RNAcentral lists this ribosomal RNA (492 nucleotides) under uncultured bacterium. RNAcentral's name for it is "partial 16S ribosomal RNA". It matches the Rfam family "Bacterial small subunit ribosomal RNA", at positions 29 to 507 of the family's 1533-position model. The record is from RNAcentral.
AGUGAACGCUGGCGGUAGGCCUAACACAUGCAAGUCGAACGGCAGCACAGUAAGAGCUUGCUCUUACGGGUGGCGAGUGGCGGACGGGUGAGGAAUACAUCGGAAUCUACUUUUUCGUGGGGGAUAACGUAGGGAAACUUACGCUAAUACCGCAUACGACCUACGGGUGAAAGCAGGGGAUCUUCGGACCUUGCGCGAUUGAAUGAGCCGAUGUCGGAUUAGCUAGUUGGCGGGGUAAAUGCCCACCAAGGCGACGAUCCGUAGCUGGUCUGAGAGGAUGAUCAGCCACACUGGAACUGAGACACGGUCCAGACUCCUACGGGAGGCAGCAGUGGGGAAUAUUGGACAAUGGGCGCAAGCCUGAUCCAGCCAUACCGCGUGGGUGAAGAAGGCCUUCGGGUUGUAAAGCCCUUUUGUUGGGAAAGAAAAGCAGCAGGUUAAUACCCCGCUGUUCUGACGGUACCCAAAGAAUAAGCACCGGCUAACUUCGUG